This 1437-nucleotide ribosomal RNA is filed under the name uncultured organism. RNAcentral's name for it is "SSU rRNA". It matches the Rfam family "Bacterial small subunit ribosomal RNA". The record is from RNAcentral.
UUCAGGAUGAACGCUAGCUACAGGCUUAACACAUGCAAGUCGAGGGGCAGCAUGGUCUUAGCUUGCUAAGGCCGAUGGCGACCGGCGCACGGGUGAGUAACGCGUAUCCAACCUGCCUUACACUCUUGGACAGCCUUCUGAAAGGGAGAUUAAUACAAGAUGUUAUCAUGAGUAAGCAUUUUCGCAUGAUUAAAGGUUUACCGGUGUAAGAUGGGGAUGCGUUCCAUUAGAUAGUAGGCGGGGUAACGGCCCACCUAGUCUUCGAUGGAUAGGGGUUCUGAGAGGAAGGUCCCCCACAUUGGAACUGAGACACGGUCCAAACUCCUACGGGAGGCAGCAGUGAGGAAUAUUGGUCAAUGGACGAGAGUCUGAACCAGCCAAGUAGCGUGAAGGAUGAAGGUUCUAUGGAUUGUAAACUUCUUUUAUACGGGAAUAAACGGAUCCACGUGUGGAUUUUUGCAUGUACCGUAUGAAUAAGGAUCGGCUAACUCCGUGCCAGCAGCCGCGGUAAUACGGAGGAUCCGAGCGUUAUCCGGAUUUAUUGGGUUUAAAGGGAGCGUAGAUGGGUUGUUAAGUCAGUUGUGAAAGUUUGCGGCUCAACCGUAAAAUUGCAAUUGAUACUGGCAGUCUUGAGUACAGUUGAGGUAGGCGGAAUUCGUGGUGUAGCGGUGAAAUGCUUAGAUAUCACGAAGAACUCCGAUUGCGAAGGCAGCUUACUAACCUGUAACUGACAUUGAUGCUCGAAAGUGUGGGUAUCAAACAGGAUUAGAUACCCUGGUAGUCCACACGGUAAACGAUGAAUACUCGCUGUAGGCGAUAUACAGUCUGCGGCCAAGCGAAAGCAUUAAGUAUUCCACCUGGGGAGUACGCCGGCAACGGUGAAACUCAAAGGAAUUGACGGGGGCCCGCACAAGCGGAGGAACAUGUGGUUUAAUUCGAUGAUACGCGAGGAACCUUACCCGGGCUUAAAUUGCAACCGAAUAUGGCGGAAACGCUAUAGCUAGCAAUAGCGGUUGUGAAGGUGCUGCAUGGUUGUCGUCAGCUCGUGCCGUGAGGUGUCGGCUUAAGUGCCAUAACGAGCGCAACCCUUGCCGAUAGUUACUAACAGGUUAUGCUGAGGACUCUGUCGGGACUGCCAUCGUAAGAUGUGAGGAAGGUGGGGAUGACGUCAAAUCAGCACGGCCCUUACGUCCGGGGCUACACACGUGUUACAAUGGGGGGUACAGAGGGCUGCUACCACGCAAGUGGAUGCCAAUCCCAAAAACCUCUCUCAGUUCGGAUUGAAGUCUGCAACCCGACUUCAUGAAGCUGGAUUCGCUAGUAAUCGCGCAUCAGCCACGGCGCGGUGAAUACGUUCCCGGGCCUUGUACACACCGCCCGUCAAGCCAUGGGAGCCGGGGGUACCUGAAGUGCGUAACCGCAAGGAGCGCCCUAGGG